This 28-nucleotide non-coding RNA is filed under the name Homo sapiens (human). Lineage: Eukaryota; Metazoa; Chordata; Mammalia; Primates; Hominidae. The record is from RNAcentral.
UCCUUCUCGGUGCAGGUCCACAUCUGGG